Molecule: long non-coding RNA, 2277 nt
Organism: Lycium ferocissimum
Lineage: Eukaryota; Viridiplantae; Streptophyta; Magnoliopsida; Solanales; Solanaceae
Exons: 2
Source: RefSeq, a predicted model, not a curated record
ACCUCAUUCUCCCGUGUUAUUCUUUCCCUAGUAACAAAUUGUAUUUUGUGUAUUAGAACAUGUUGUUGUACAAUAGACUCUCUGAAAAUUUUCCAGUUUCUAGUUUACCAAAUAAAGUAUACCAGAGCUCUAGGUAUUGUAGCCACCAUCUCCUUCUUGAAACUGCACCCAUGUCGCUAUUUUAUACACUUUAAACUUUCAUUUACUGCAGCUGGUGGCAUUUGCAAUCCCAGUCAUAUCAUCACAUCCCUCCACACUGCAACUGUCCAUUCACAGGUCACAAAGAGGUGGCUGGCAUCUUCAAUAUGCUGUUGUUCACAUAAAACUCACCAAGCAUUGUCACAAUGUAAGCCCAUAUUCAACAUCCUGCCUUUAGUGAGCAGCCUUUGCUGAUUUGACAACCACAAUAUAAACCUAUGUUUGGGUUUAGUAACUUUGACCAGAUGAGUUCAGUUGCAACAAGAUUUUCCCCAGUCUCCAACAUAGUAAUAUAACUCUUAGACUGAUAGAGUAUUUUCCAGAGGAGGUUAGUACAUAUCUGUCACUUCUAUACCAACCAAUCAUGCCCAACUUCAUUUUAUUCAAUUUCUUCCAAUACCAACUACUAUUUGUAGGCGGUAUAUGACCCAGAAUUGUUGUAGUUUUAUUUUGGGUGUUUUUUGGGUUUCUUCUUAUUUGUUCAAUUUUAUCCAUCUAAAUAUUAAAUAGAAUUUUUGGAUUAAUACAAUAAUUUUAUGGAUAUUCUUUUGCGAUAAAUUUUCCUUUACAUGUUGCAAUGAGUGAGUUGUUGGGUUAAUGCUUUGCCAAUCACCAGUUUGACAGAAUGUACACUCAGAAUUCAUGGUAUUCCAUGGUCUUUUUAAUGUUAACCCAGGAUAAGUCACAAACUUAGCUUUUGUCAGUUCCAAAGCGAUGGUGAGUUGUUUAGAAUGGACAUAUCAAGAUUUUGGUCAAGUUUUGGUUCAGCUUUUUGGCCUCAUUUGAUGCAGUUAUCACCGCUGUUUUGCUGCUGGUUUUGCUCUAGUUUUGUUCAUGUUUUUGCUGCUAUUUCAGUGCAGUUUUUGGUGUAUUUUUGGUCCAGUUUUUAUCUAGUUUUGAUGCAGUUAUUCUCCUUCAAGCACAAGUCUUCUGUUUCCUAUUGUCUAAUUAUUAGUUGAACAUCACAAUGUUCAAAUCAACUUUCUAGAAAACAAUUUUAAAUCCUACUAACAUUUAUAGGAGAUUAUUGACUUGUAAUGAGGUACAUGUUCCUUAUUUGGUUAAAGCAAAACCUUCAAAUAUUGCACAAAAUCCUUUGAUAAGGAAACGAUGACAUCUUUAUCUUUUCUGUUUUGUUAGAAAAUAAUUAUCGGAAAAUUAAUUUAAGAUUCACAUUUUACCAAGCUUAAUAAUGUGAAUUCAUACUAUAGGGACUUUGGGUAUAAGUAUUCUCACACGGGUUUGUUUUGGUGCCCUUUGAAGGAUCAAUAAAGUGUUCAUACCUCUAGCAUAUUUUUUUCACAGAAGUACAUUAAGAAAAAUGAUGAGCCACAUAGAUAUAAAAUUAUCGACAGAUAUUUUUAACUUUUUCAUCCUUAGCUAUCAUAAUAGGCAUCUGAUGGUGUUAGCAUAGUUUUCUUACCUGUACCUGUUCCAUUUCUAAUUCUUGUAAUGCUUUGGAUAACCUAUUUUAUUUUUGUUUUUGUAAAUUUGUAACAAAUUCAUAUCGUCAUGAGUCAAGUAGAGCCUUUAAGAAGAAACAAAAAAGUGAAAAGCAAGAAACUCAUUAAUGCUGGACUACUGAAAUAUUUGGCGGACAGAAAGUUUUUGUCAUUGACAAUGAAAAAUAGGGUACCAGCUAUAAGGUCAAAUGAAGAGCAUCAACUAAAUUCAAGUGAAGAACAACAGAGCCCAAGUUUAGGAGCCCAUAUGCAAAGAGAAUGCGGCAAGAAAUAGAGGACUUCAUAGCACAAAUUCAGCGUCAGAAACUAGGUUUACAACUUGAUCUUAACAUGCAGAAAGCAUUUUGUGCUCGUUUACUGGGGGAAGCUGGCUCUGCACCACAAACAGCCAUCCAACCAAUGCAUCGCUCUUCUGUCAGUAGCAACCAUCAAGGUCAGGACUUUACUCUAAUUCUUGUUGAGAUUAGGAUUACUUGUGCUGCUUUGAGAAUGUAGUGUACAUUAGCAUUACUUCAAUUUAUACUCUAAUUAUUGUUGAUAGUUUCUUUCAUCUUCAUCUGUCUUGUCUAUCUUAAUAUCUUCAUUUCUAUCCAACAUCUUAGUGAAAGUCAACUAA